RNAcentral lists this ribosomal RNA (543 nucleotides) under uncultured Bacteroidota bacterium. RNAcentral's name for it is "bacterial SSU rRNA". It matches the Rfam family "Bacterial small subunit ribosomal RNA", at positions 353 to 896 of the family's 1533-position model. The record is from RNAcentral. Lineage: Bacteria; Pseudomonadati; Bacteroidota.
AGUGAGGAAUAUUGGUCAAUGGACGCAAGUCUGAACCAGCCACGUCGCGUGAAGGAAGACGGCCCUACGGGUUGUAAACUUCUUUUGUAAGGGAAUAAAGUGUAGUACGUGUACUAUUUUGCAUGUACCUUACGAAUAAGGAUCGGCUAACUCCGUGCCAGCAGCCGCGGUAAUACGGAGGAUCCGAGCGUUAUCCGGAUUUAUUGGGUUUAAAGGGUGCGCAGGCGGGAGAUUAAGUCGGCGGUGAAAUUUUGCAGCUCAACUGUAAAAGUGCCUUCGAAACUGGUUUCCUUGAGUGUGGAUGAAGUAGGCGGAAUUUGUGGUGUAGCGGUGAAAUGCAUAGAUAUCACGAGGAACUCCGAUUGCGCAGGCAGCUUACUAAACCAUAACUGACGCUCAGGCACGAAGGCGUGGGGAUCAAACAGGAUUAGAUACCCUGGUAGUCCACGCAGUAAACGAUGAUUACUAGCUGUUUGCGAUACAAUGUAAGCGGCUGAGCGAAAGCGUUAAGUAAUCCACCUGGGGAGUACGUUCGCAAGAAUG